Protopterus annectens (West African lungfish) is the source of this 444-nucleotide long non-coding RNA. RefSeq lists it as uncharacterized. The transcript is spliced from 3 exons. Lineage: Eukaryota; Metazoa; Chordata; Ceratodontiformes; Protopteridae. The record is from RefSeq and is a predicted model, not a curated record.
UGCAAGUGGCUAGUUUACGUGCUUCAAUGAUGCGAUUUAUGCAGUCUAGUCAGACAUUAGACAGCAGUCAGUGGCAAGACAGUGAAAUGCUUCAAGAGGCAGAUUUCCCUGAGGUGCCAAGCAGUCCUUCCAGACCAGGUGAAAGUGACAGUUCCUGCCAAAGUCCCAGCGAUGCUUGCUGUAUGGUAGAUGUUGAGGUGCCAAGCCCUUCCAGACCAGGUGAAAGUGACAGUUCCUGCCAAAGUCCCAGCGAUGCUUGCUGUAUGGUAGAUGUUGAGGUGCCAAGCAGUCCUUCCAGACCAGGUGAAAGUGACAGUUCCUGCCAAAGUCCCAGCGAUGCUUGCUGUAUGGUAGAUGUUGAGAAUACUGGUACUGGAUGUACAGAUAAUGAAUCUGAGUCACAGGUGUGUGAUAAUGGCUCUGACCUUGCAGGUGGUAAUGCAG